CAAUUUAGUCGUAAGUGAAAUUCAUGAAACUAAAAUUAAUUGGCGGCUUUUUAAAUAUUUUAGAGAAAUUUAUUCUGUAAAGGAUUUAACCCCAAAAUCUUACUUUUUUUUGUAUAAUAUACAAAAAUAUAUUACAUUUCCUAUACCUCUCUUUUUUGAUUAUUAAAUCAAUUAUAGCAUUUUCUAUGAUUGUUUAGAAGUAUUUUAGGGAAAGGUGUGGAUUAUAAAAAAGAUUGAAAUAAGUUUUAUUAAUUAGUAUUUAAUGAAAUUUAAAUUGAUAGAUUUAAAUUCAAUAAAAUUUAAAAGUAAAAUUAGUGAAAUAGGCUAAUUUGAAUAUAUUUUCAAAAGCGUCCAUAUUGCCCGUCACUCUCUUUUUAGAGAUAAGUCGCCCCAGAGUAA
Molecule: ribosomal RNA, 399 nt
Filed under: Neoseiulus idaeus
Lineage: Eukaryota; Metazoa; Arthropoda; Arachnida; Mesostigmata; Phytoseiidae
Description: partial 12S ribosomal RNA
Source: RNAcentral